RNAcentral lists this ribosomal RNA (425 nucleotides) under uncultured cyanobacterium. RNAcentral's name for it is "bacterial SSU rRNA". It matches the Rfam family "Bacterial small subunit ribosomal RNA", at positions 356 to 795 of the family's 1533-position model. Lineage: Bacteria; Bacillati; Cyanobacteriota. The record is from RNAcentral.
GGGGAAUUUUCCGCAAUGGGCGAAAGCCUGACGGAGCAAUACCGCGUGAGGGAUGACGGCCUAUGGGUUGUAAACCUCUUUUGUCAGGGAGGAAAAAAAUGACGUUACCUGAAGAAUAAGCAUCGGCUAACUCCGUGCCAGCAGCCGCGGUAAGACGGAGGAUGCAAGUGUUAUCCGGAAUCACUGGGCGUAAAGCGUCUGUAGGUGGUUUAAUAAGUCAACUGUUAAAUCUUGAGGCUCAACCUCGAAACCGCAGUCGAAACUAUUAGACUAGAGUAUAGUAGGGGUAAAGGGAAUUUCCAGUGGAGCGGUGAAAUGCGUAGAGAUUGGAAAGAACACCGAUGGCGAAGGCGCUCUACUGGACCGAAACUGACACUCAGGGACGAAAGCUAGGGGAGCGAAAGGGAUUAGAUACCCCUGUAGUC